This 469-nucleotide ribosomal RNA is filed under the name uncultured bacterium. RNAcentral's name for it is "bacterial SSU rRNA". It matches the Rfam family "Bacterial small subunit ribosomal RNA", at positions 29 to 507 of the family's 1533-position model. The record is from RNAcentral.
AACGAACGCUAGCGGGAUGCCUCAAACAUGCAAGUCGAACGAGAAAGGUCCUUCGGGAACGAGUAAAGUGGCGCACGGGUGCGUAACACGUAGCUAACGUACCUCUUCGCUGGGGAUAACUCCGGGAAACCGGAGCUAAUACCGAAUGAUCUGAAUUUGUCUGCGGACGGAUUCGGUAAAGCCUUCGGGCGCGAAGAGAUCGGGCUGCGUAACAUUAGCUUGAUGGUAGGGUAACGGCCUACCAUAGCGACGAUGUUUAGCUGGUCUGAGAGGAUGAUCAGCCACACUGGAACUGAAACACGGUCCAGACUCCCACGGGAGGCAGCAGUUGGGAAUAUUGGACAAUGGGAGCAAUCCUGAUCCAGCAAUCCCGCGUGAGUGAUGAAGGCUUUCGGGUCGUAAAGCUCUUUCAGCAGGGAAGAAGGGAAACUUGACGGUACCUGCAGAAGAAGCACCGGCUAACUCCGUG